GAGAACUCGGGUGAAGGAACUAGGCAAAAUGGUACCGUAACUUCGGGAGAAGGUACGCUCUCGACGGUGAAGUCCCUCGCGGAUGGAGCUAUUGAGAGUCGCAGAUACCAGGUGGCUGCAACUGUUUAUUAAAAACACAGCACUGUGCAAAAUCGUAAGAUGACGUAUACGGUGUGACGCCUGCCCGGUGCCGGAAGGUUAAUUGAUGGGGUUAGACUUCGGUCGAAGCUCUUGAUCGAAGCCCCGGUAAACGGCGGCCGUAACUAUAACGGUCCUAAGGUAGCGAAAUUCCUUGUCGGGUAAGUUCCGACCUGCACGAAUGGCGUAAUGAUGGCCACGCUGUCUCCACCCGAGACUCAGUGAAAUUGAAAUCGCUGUGAAGAUGCAGUGUACCCGCGGCUAGACGGAAAGACCCCGUGAACCUUUACUACAGCUUGGCACUGAACAUUGACCCUACAUGUGUAGGAUAGGUGGGAGGCUUUGAAGCACGUACGCCAGUAUGUGUGGAGCCGUCCUUGAAAUACCACCCUUGUAGUGUUGAUGUUCUAACGUCGACCCCUUAUCGGGGUUGCGGACAGUGCCUGGUGGGUAGUUUGACUGGGGCGGUCUCCUCCCAAAGAGUAACGGAGGAGCACGAAGGUGGGCUAAUCACGGUUGGACAUCGUGAGGUUAGUGCAAUGGCAUAAGCCCGCUUGACUGCGAGAAUGACAAUUCGAGCAGGUGCGAAAGCAGGUCAUAGUGAUCCGGUGGUUCUGAAUGGAAGGGCCAUCGCUCAACGGAUAAAAGGUACUCCGGGGAUAACAGGCUGAUACCGCCCAAGAGUUCAUAUCGACGGCGGUGUUUGGCACCUCGAUGUCGGCUCAUCACAUCCUGGGGCUGAAGUCGGUCCCAAGGGUAUGGCUGUUCGCCAUUUAAAGUGGUACGCGAGCUGGGUUUAGAACGUCGUGAGACAGUUCGGUCCCUAUCUGCCGUGGGCGUUGGAAGAUUGAAGGGGGCUGCUCCUAGUACGAGAGGACCGGAGUGGACGAACCUCUGGUGUUCGGGUUGUGUCGCCAGACGCAUUGCCCGGUAGCUAAGUUCGGAAUCGAUAACCGCUGAAAGCAUCUAAGCGGGAAGCGAGCCCUGAGAUGAGUCUUCCCUGAUACUUUAAGUAUCCUAAAGGGUUGUCGGAGACUACGACGUUGAUAGGUCAGGUGUGUAAGUGCUGUGAGGCAUUGAGCUAACUGAUACUAAUUGCCCGUGAGGCUUAACCAUACAACACCCAAGGGGUUU
This 1272-nucleotide ribosomal RNA is filed under the name Vibrio parahaemolyticus. Its description in RNAcentral is "partial 23S ribosomal RNA". It matches the Rfam family "Bacterial large subunit ribosomal RNA", at positions 1694 to 2925 of the family's 2925-position model. Lineage: Bacteria; Pseudomonadati; Pseudomonadota; Gammaproteobacteria; Vibrionales; Vibrionaceae. The record is from RNAcentral.